This is a long non-coding RNA of Gorilla gorilla gorilla (western lowland gorilla), 3824 nucleotides long. RefSeq lists it as uncharacterized. The record is from RefSeq and is a predicted model, not a curated record. Lineage: Eukaryota; Metazoa; Chordata; Mammalia; Primates; Hominidae. The transcript is spliced from 5 exons.
AAUCAUUUCUUCUGACUCACUGACCAACUAUCACAUUUGUUUAAUAUAUAUAGGCUCUGAUCUUUUGAUUGGGUCAAUUUCAUAUUUUCCAGGUUUAGUCAGAUUUCAAAUUUGAAUCAAUUCCUUAAAUUAACUUUAUAAUCAAUUGUCACAUCUCUUUUCAUUCAGAAAGAAGGAGGGCAGAAGUUAGAACUCCAACAAACUCACAGUCUCUGUACUGACCAACAUGGGUCUCCGUGCCAAGAAGUAAACAACAUUAUGUUCAGUCCUUGGGAGCAGCUACAUCCAAAUAUUAUAUGGAGAAAAGUUCAAGUUCUUGUAUAAUAUGAAACUUUGAACUCUGAAAAAUGUGAUUUAGAAUCCCAACAAAUCUGACUUUUGGAAUGAACAUUCCAUCUUCCAGUCAUAAUGGAGAUAUUACAAGAAGAACCUGGAAGAGGAGGAUGAGAUUACUCUAUUUGACGAAUACAUCAACUAAGAAAUGGGAGAGGAUGCCAGAAAUAGUUGGCUAAAAAGUAAUAUGGCAUGUAUUUAGAUUGUACAAGCAAGCCUUUACAGAAAAUCUAAAUUUCAAAAAAUUAUAUUCAAAAUUAUGAUUGAAGUAUAAUAAAUCCCAAAAUAUCACCUUAAAACAGUCAUAUAAAUUAGGAUGGCGCCCACGGGUCUAGGACUAAGGCAGAACCCAUAGCCAAUAUUUGUCGGUGAAGAGACAAACUGCUGAAUAGAGUUAGUACACAAAUUUAGGAUUACGAAGUUCUACCUUCUACCAGAACAACUAGGUCAAACUGUUCCCACUAACAGAUUUUCCAUUCCUCUUUUGCAGUAUCAUGGGCUAACCAAUUCAUAAUCGAUUUUUUAAAACUUUAAAAGGCCCACUAUAUGUUAAUCAUUGGGUUAGGGAACUUAGGGCACUUUUGUGCCCUACCUGAUGAACAAAAUAUCAAAAUUCUAAGUAAAGACAAACUUAGUAUUGCUUUAGGCUCCAAUAUGGCUUGGCAAGGUACUAUUACUGAUUCUAUCUUUAUUUAAAAUGUCAACAUUUUGUUUAUCAUACAUCUUUGCAUUGAUUUUUUAAAUAUUGCAUUAAAAUGUUAUUUAACCUUGAUUACUGAGUUUUUCCGUUUCCCUUUAAAUUUUACACCCUAGGUUUGACAGUUAAGUUUAUGUGUCAACUCAACUGGGCCGUGGGGUGCCCAGAUACCUGGUUAAAUGUUAUUUCUGGGUGUAUGGGAGAGGGUGUUUCUGGAAGAGAUGAGCAUUUAAAUUGGUAGACUGAGUAAAGCAAAUUGUCCUUCCUAAUGUGGAUGGGCCUCAUCCAAUCCAUUGAAGGCCUGAAUAAAACAAACAGCCAGGUAAGGGAGAAUUCUCUCUCUCUCUCUCUGUCUGAGUGCCUUCAAGCCAGGGCACUGGUCUCCUGCCUUCAGACUCGAGCUUGGACUGAAACCUACACCAUGGGCACUCCUGCUUCUCAAGCCUUCAGACUUGGACUGGAACUAUCUACCAUUGGCUCUCCUGGGUCCCCAGCUUGCUGACUGCAGAUCUUGGGAAUCGUCAACCUCCAUAAUUGCAUGAGUCAAGUCCUAUAAAUAUAUCUAAUCCUGGGUUCCCAUCCCUACUGCUUUUCUCUGGAGACUUGACAUGAUUAAGACCCGAUGUGCUCAGCUUCAUGUGAUCACUUCUCCAAUGGAAUAAAGUGCAGAGCCCAUGAAUCAAGUCUCAGCCGGAUUUCCUAACCCGUUUGGUGUUCCUGCUUCUGUGGAAUGAAAGAGGAGCCACAAUGGUUUGGUGAAUUGGUCAAGUCUGGAAAAAUUAGUGCACGUCACACCAAGAAGAUUCGUGAAGGCAAGAGGCUUAUUGGAGUAGUCCUGCAGCAGCACAUCAAGGAAAAAGUAUAGCAUAGUAUUCCUGGGAAGAAAAGGGUGUGUGGCAUCUCCACCCUGGCUUCACGACAGAAGGUAUGGAAGAAAAUCUCAGUGGUUUCCAUCAGACUACAACAAGGACUACAGAGCAGAGGAGGGACAAAAAGGAGUACCCAGACAGACAGGACAAACAAGAUGGCAUCCUACCAAAGAGGGGACUGAAGGUAGGGACCACAGCAGUGCUGCCCCCCAUCUCCCCCGCUAAGAAAGCCCUCAUUGACAGAGGAGAUCAGGUUGACCUGAACAAGAAAUCAUCACAAGAAGACCAUUAUAUCAGCAAGUCCACCAGAAGCAGAGAGAACCAGAGUAACCGGAGUAAGACCCAGGGCACUUUCCCACAACUGGCAGGUGGCCAAGUGUCUAAGAGUUUGUUAUCUCCUCUAAGCACCCCCUACCUGCCUCAAUCCUGGACAACCUAUGUGUACAGAGAGAAGGGGAGGAGAGAUAUCUUAGAUGCAGUCUCUCUGUCUCUCAACCCCUCUCUUUCUCCAUACCCGCUCCAAUCCACUCUUUGAGUCCCGCAAGCAAUAGGUUAAGGGAAGAAUUUUAAAUUGGAUAUGAGUUUGGAGUUUUAAACUGUAUUGGAUGGAACUUUGCUCAUCAAAAAUGACUGGAAUGUCAGUGGUUGCUAGGAGUUACAGAGGAGGGAGGGAUGAACAGGUAGAGUACACAGGAUGUUUGGGGCUGUGAAAAUACUCUAUAUGAUACUAUAUUGGUAGAUAAAUGUCAUUUUAUAUUCGUCCAAACCCAUAGAAUGUACACCAAGAGUAAACAUUAAUGUAAACUAUGGACUUUGGUUGAUGAUGUGUCAAUGUAGGUUCAUUGAUUGUAACAAAUGUACCACUUUGGUGGGAAACGUUGAUAAGGAGGAAGCUAUACAAGUGUCAGGGCAGGAGGCAUAUGGAAAAUUACUGUAUCUACCUCUCAGUUUUAAUGUGAACCUAAAACUACUCUACAAAAAUAAAGUCUUGGCUGGGCGCGGUGGCUUACACCUGUAAUCCCAGCACUUUGGGAGGCCGGGGCAGAUGGAUUACUUGAGGUCAGGAGUUUGAGACCAGCCUAGCCAACAUGGUGAAACCCCAUCUCUACUAAAGACACAAAAAUUAGCCGGGCAUGGUAGUGGGCGCCUAUAAUCCCAGCUACUCAGGAGGCUGAGGCACGAGAAUCGCUUGAACCUGGAGGCAGGUGUUGGUGUUGCAGUGAGCUGAGAUUGUGCCACUGCACUCCAGCCUGGGUGAUAGAGCAAGACUCAGUCUCAAAAACAAAAAUAAAAAAUAAAAAAAUAAAGUAUUUUAAAAUGUGUCUGGCACGUGGUCAGUGUUCAAUUAAUAUUUAUAUAAUAAAUCAAUGAAUUGAUGUCUUUUAAGGAAAAUUUAACCCAAAACAAUACUUUUGUUUAGUGUCAAUAAAGUAUUAUCGACAUUUAAAAAAGGAAUUAACUGUUGAUAUAUAAAACUAUAAGGACUGACCUCAAAAUCAUUAUAGCAAAUCAAAGUCUCUCUCAGAUUUUAAAAAAUAGUUCAUGCUGUAUGAUUCCAUUCCUAUAAAAUUCUAGAAAAUGCAAACUGCUGUAUUGUAAUAGAAAGCAUAUCAGUGUCUGGGGGAAGGGGUGAAGGGAGAAAUGGAUUAUAAAAGGGCACCAGGAAACUCGGAGAAAUGGAAAUGUUCAUUAUUUUGGUAGUAGUGAUGGUUUCACAGGUGUAGACCUAUUCAAAACCUAUCAAAUUGUAUCCUUUAAAUAUGUGCAGUUUAUUGUAAGUCAUUUAUAUCUCAAUUAAAAGUUAAAACAUUUAAUGAUCAGAAUGUUUGGGUACCUACUUAAGAUGCCGGGAAAAGGAGAGUCUACAGAGUUUAGUAGAAAGAAGUGAUGGAGAAAAAAUUAAGUUCUUAAUAUAUCCCAACUAA